This 253-nucleotide ribosomal RNA is filed under the name uncultured bacterium. RNAcentral describes it as "partial 16S ribosomal RNA". It matches the Rfam family "Bacterial small subunit ribosomal RNA", at positions 524 to 776 of the family's 1533-position model. The record is from RNAcentral.
UACAGAGGGGGCAAGCGUUGUUCGGAAUUACUGGGCGUAAAGGGCGCGUAGGCGGCCUUCUAAGUCGAACGUGAAAUCCCUGGGCUCAACCCAGGAACUGCGUCCGAUACUGGAAGGCUUGAAUCCGGGAGAGGGAUGCGGAAUUCCUGGUGUAGCGGUGAAAUGCGUAGAUAUCUGGAGGAAUACCGGUGGCGAAGGCGGCAUCCUGGACCGGCAUUGACGCUGAUGAGCGAAAGCUAGGGGAGCAAACGGG